AAACCAACAGGAUUGCCUCAGUAGCGGCGAGUGAAGCGGCAAGAGCUCAGAUUUGAAAUCUCACCUAGUGUGCGAGUUGUAAAUUGCAGGUUGGAGUCUCGGGUUAGACGUGUGUGCAAGUCCCUUGGAACAGGGCGCCACUGAGGGUGAGAGCCCCGUAGCGUGCAUGUCGACACCUGUGAGGCCCUUCUGACGAGUCGAGUUGUUUGGGAAUGCAGCUCUAAGUGGGUGGUAAAUUCCAUCUAAGGCUAAAUAUUGGCGAGAGACCGAUAGCGAACAAGUACUGUGAAGGAAAGAUGAAAAGCACUUUGAAAAGAGAGUGAAACAGCACGUGAAAUUGUUGAAAGGGAAGGGUAUUGGGGCUCGACAUGGGGAUUUUACGCAUCGUUGCCUCUCGUGGGCGGCGCUCUGGGGUUUUUCCUGGGCCAGCAUCGGUUUUCGUUGCAGGAUAAGGCAAUUGGAAUGUGGCUCCUCGGAGUGUUAUAGCCUUUUGU
This 494-nucleotide ribosomal RNA is filed under the name uncultured Pichia. RNAcentral's name for it is "eukaryotic LSU rRNA". It matches the Rfam family "Eukaryotic large subunit ribosomal RNA", at positions 62 to 564 of the family's 3401-position model. The record is from RNAcentral. Lineage: Eukaryota; Fungi; Ascomycota; Saccharomycetes; Saccharomycetales; Saccharomycetaceae.